RNAcentral lists this ribosomal RNA (720 nucleotides) under Archaeoglobus sp. enrichment culture. RNAcentral describes it as "bacterial SSU rRNA". It matches the Rfam family "Archaeal small subunit ribosomal RNA", at positions 102 to 816 of the family's 1478-position model. The record is from RNAcentral. Lineage: Archaea; Methanobacteriati; Methanobacteriota; Archaeoglobi; Archaeoglobales; Archaeoglobaceae.
GGACAACCUGCCCUCGGGUGGGGGAUAACCCCGGGAAACUGGGGCUAAUCCCCCAUAGGGGAUGGGUACUGGAAUGUCUCAUCUCCGAAAGCGCUUAGCGCCCGAGGAUGGGUCUGCGGCGGAUUAGGUUGUUGGUGGGGUAACGGCCCACCAAGCCGAAGAUCCGUACGGGCCAUGAGAGUGGGAGCAGGAGCCCGGAGAUGGACCCUGAGACACGGGUCCAGGCCCUACGGGGCGCAGCAGGCGCGAAACCUCCGCAAUGCGGGAAACCGCGACGGGGUCAGCCGGAGUGCUCGCGCAUCGCGCGGGCUGUCGGGGUGCCUAAAAAGCACCCCAUAGCAAGGGCCGGGCAAGGCCGGUGGCAGCCGCCGCGGUAAUACCGGCGGCCCGAGUGGCGGCCACUUUUAUUGGGCCUAAAGCGUCCGUAGCCGGGCUGGUAAGUCCUCCGGGAAAUCUGGUCGCUUAACGAUCAGACUGCCGGAGGAUACUGCCAGCCUAGGGACCGGGAGAGGCCGGGGGUAUUCCCGGGGUAGGGGUGAAAUCCUGUAAUCCCGGGAGGACCACCUGUGGCGAAGGCGCCCGGCUGGAACGGGUCCGACGGUGAGGGACGAGGGCCAGGGGAGCGAACCGGAUUAGAUACCCGGGUAGUCCUGGCUGUAAACGAUGCGGACUAGGUGUCACCGAAGCUACGAGCUUCGGUGGUGCCGGAGGGAAGCCGUU